Cornus florida is the source of this 2310-nucleotide RNA transcript. It is a transcript of the gene named peroxisome biogenesis protein 22, with no coding region annotated. Lineage: Eukaryota; Viridiplantae; Streptophyta; Magnoliopsida; Cornales; Cornaceae. The transcript is spliced from 8 exons. The record is from RefSeq and is a predicted model, not a curated record.
UUCGUAGAUUCGAUACGGUGCAAUAAACUUACAAUUUGCACUCGGCCGUACACGACCAGCAAAAAGAAUUGCAAUCAAGGUCUCUCGCUCCUCUCUCUCUCUCUCUCUACACACCACCGAAUCCGAUUGAUCGACGGGAAGAUCUGAAGAAUCCCAUCACAAAUUUCGUGAUUGAAGACAUGAGAGUUUGAGAAUUUUUGGGGACAGACGACCACGGUUUUUACUCUGCCAUGGCUGAUUAUUCGAAGGAAGAUUUGGUGCAGCUGCUCAGGAGAUUUGGGGCUUAUCUCAGCUUCAAGAUGUCCAAUCUCUUCCCGAUCUCCCUCCGAAAUAUGGAUUCAAGAUCAGUUGGGGCUAUAGCAGGGCUUGCUGUUGCAAUAGUUUUUACGUGGAGACUAUUGAGAUCACCCAGUGGAACUCAAAGAAGGCAACCUAAACGGCAAACUCCUACACCUAGUAGUUCUGGCGUAAACACUCAAUCUAAUGCAAAUUUGAUAUCUUCUGGAGUUUGCUCAUCUUCAGAAGACUCAAGGGCACAGAAUGUUAUUGAUGAGUUAUUUGAGCCCGUCAAGCCAACAUUGGGCCAAUUAGUUAGGCAGAAGUUGAGUGAAGGAAGGAAGGUAACAUGCCGGUUGCUUGGCGUAAUACUUGAGGAAAGUAGUCCAGAGGAGCUUCAGGAGAAACAAGCAACUGUGAGAUCCUCUGUGCUGGAAGUACUGCUGGAGAUCACAAAAUACUGUGACCUUUAUCUCAUGGAAAGAGUUCUCGAUGAUGAAAGUGAAAGCAAGGUUCUCCAUGCUUUAGAAGAUGCUGGGAUUUUCACAUCUGGCGGUUUGGUUAAAGACAAGAUCUAUGGCAAGGCAAGGAAGCAAGAUAGCUACAAAAGAAGACGUUCAAAAACUGCAGCAUCAAUUUUCUCGACCGAGCACUCUAUUAGAACAAUAUGGAAUCAUUUCUUCUCCGAUUCUGGACAGUAGGAGAGAAAGGGAUCAGCAAAUUGAUGCAUGUGAAAGAAACAGAAAUCUUCUUAGAGCACUAAGAAAAAAUAAGGUUACUCCAAUCAACGUUGGAGCCUAGAUUUCUAAAGGGAACUCUUGGAAAUGCCUUGUAGAAGCUUAAAAUCUGAUAAUAUCUCAAAGUAUAUUGAUAAAGACUUGGUUCGGCAGAUACAUAGGGCUGUCCCUUUUAUGAGACAAGUAUUAAUGACACUUACUCUAGACUUUUCACAAAACAUUAAUGACAACUUCUACUGUUCCAAUGACUUUUCAGAUUCCCAUAUCAUAACUACUACUUAAUAGACUUUGACUAAACACUUUUCAAGACACUAUUAACUGCCUCAAUCCUGACUAGAGACGCUAUUAAGUAUUAGUAUCAUAUAUGCCAGUAUUUUUUAACUUGCAUGUAAAUACACAUUUUAUACGCGUAGUGCACGCAACUUAACUAACUGGGCUCUAGACCUAUAAUGGGGCAAGAUUCAUUUCAGGGAAAUAUGUCUCCCGCUGAUGCUGCCAGUUCAAUUCUUUCACUCUGAGCAUGUCUGAAGUGGAAGGUCUUGAAAAUUUAUAGAUUUCCUCUCUUGAAAACUAACGGCAUUUGAUGGUUCAUACCACUGAAAAUUCUUGAAGAUUCUCUUGUUCCAUAUAUUCCCAGAUAAGCAGCACUUCAUAAUUUUUGAAGAAGCUAACCCUGAGGGUUCAUGUCCUCAUUGGGGCAAAGUGGGUGUGUGAGUUUUAAAGAGAGAGAGAGGUAGAGAUGGGGGACAGGUAAAGAACUGAAUUAUACUUGCACAAAUAUUACAAUGAAAAGAAAGCAUGCUUCCUCGAUUCUUCAAGGACCUAGCCAAGAUAUUCCUUUCAAACUUUUGUUGCAAUGGCCACUUUCCCUUCCUGUAAGACAAAGGGAAUUCCCCAAUAGAAUGAAACCUACAUUGCAAUUAUCUUACUAGAAAUGGGUCAUUUAGAGCCACUGUAAUUACUUGGUAUGCCCGCCUUUCAUUCUAUUCCCCUUUUGUGCUUCUUUAAUUGAUGUCUAUAUAGAGUCCAGUUAUCCUGACUCACGCUUGUGGAGACCAUCAGGGCUGAAAUCUCCCUAGACUUGCUUCAAGGCAACAAUUAGAGCCCCUUGCUUAUCCAUUUCUAUGGAAGAAAGAUAGCAAGAGAAAAGACGGUUAUAAACAAUCUGCUGACGUAUACUGUUGUUCAGUAAUGGGUUCUCUUUUGUAGCACAGAGAAUGGGAGAACAUCCUUUGUUCGACAAUUGGAGCCUGAUUGGCAUAUUGACUCGAAUCCUGAAAUUGUUUCUCAGUUGGCG